This 253-nucleotide ribosomal RNA is filed under the name uncultured bacterium. RNAcentral describes it as "partial 16S ribosomal RNA". It matches the Rfam family "Bacterial small subunit ribosomal RNA", at positions 524 to 776 of the family's 1533-position model. The record is from RNAcentral.
UACAGAGGGUGCAAGCGUUGCUCGGAAUUAUUGGGCGUAAAGGGCAGGUAGGUGGUCUUAUUUGUCUAGGGUGAAAUCCCCGAGCUUAACUCAGGAAGUGCCCUAGAAACGGUAAGACUGGAGUACUGGAGAGGGUCGUGGAAUUCCCGGUGUAGCGGUGAAAUGCGUAGAGAUUGGGAGGAACACCAGAGGCGAAGGCGGCGACCUGGACAGUGACUGACACUCAACUGCGAAAGCGUGGGGAGCAAACAGG